UUUUUAAUUAACGAUUGGAAUAAACAAUUGGAAUAAACAAUUUCGAAAUAUAAAUGAUCAAUCAAAAGAUUCU
Molecule: transfer RNA, 73 nt
Filed under: Centrosema virginianum
Lineage: Eukaryota; Viridiplantae; Streptophyta; Magnoliopsida; Fabales; Fabaceae
Description: tRNA-Glu
Source: RNAcentral